UGCAGACGUGGAAGCUCACAGAGGUGGAGUCAUCGCCCAGGGUUACACACCUGAUGAGCAGAGAGCUGGGAUUCGAACCCAGGCAGCUGGGGGCUGAGGAGGCCGAGGGAGAAGCAGCUGGUGAUGAAGCCUAGAAACGAAUCAGGUCUGCUUCCUUGCUUGGCAUUCGGUGCCAUUGACAGCAGCCUCCCCUCAGCAAGCAAAACUUGCUCCAAAUUGAGCUGCGAGUUUCUUGCAGGGUGGAGCUGCCCUCGGCUGAGUGGAGCCAGGAGGGUGAAGCAGGAGUGUGAACGGUGUGAAGCACCCAUUACAAAUUUCUGGCCGCCAUCCUAAUUUUAGAGGCUUCAUGUUUCAAUAUGAAAUGCUGUUGUUCGUGCCACAAAAGGAGGAAACAAACAGAAUCGUGCCAGGAGAAACCCCCUCCCCCACCAAGUUUGAUGCUGUAAAAAUGUCUAAUGGGGAAAUCUUUUCAGUGGUAAAUUACCCCACUGCCUUCUUUUCCUCUUAUUUUGCAUCGGAAGCUCUCCUCAGUUCCUACUGGAAGAUGUUCAAGGCUGGGCCAGGAGAAUUCUAGAGACUUUUUCCCCUAAUAGGCACCGUGUUUGUGGAGAAGUCCACUAAGAAUCCCAGACUUGACAUAGCCCUGGCAUUCAGCGGCCGCCUCACUCCCAUGUGGAGUGAAAACCAGGAAGACAGCAGAAGGUGGCAAACCCACUGUCAAGAACCAGAGUAGCAAUUUCUUGCCAUUGUAGUGAUAAAUUGCUACACUGGCUGAACUAAAAAUUGUAAUAAUAAUAACAAUUAACAUUUAUGCAGCAUGUACAAUGCUCCAGUAAAAUAUUCUUUUAAGGUCACAAUGUACCUUUAUCAUGAUGUUGUCAUAAUGUAUCCACAAUAAUAGCAGCACUAGCUAACAUUUAUUGAAUAAUUACUGUGGUUACUUUAUCUGCAUCAUCACAUUAAUCUUUAAAACUUCACAACAAUGCUUUGAGCCUGGUGCUUUUAUUAUUCCCAUUGUACAGUUAAUAAAACAGGUUUACGUAGUUAGUGGCUGAGCUGGGUUGCAGACUCAGGCACGUCUGAAUCCGGAGCUGGGGUUCUUACCCACUCCAGUGACUGCCUCUCAGAAAAGAACAGGGCAAUGUCCAUUCUCCUUUUAUUUUCUUUAAGCACCUGAUCAUUCUAAAAGCAUGUGUUCCUCCGUGUGUGUGAGUUGUGUACACGUGUGUGUGUGUUCCUUUCUUUUCUCGGACUCCAGGCUCAUGACUGCUUAUUUGCAUGGUGUUUUGGUGUCAAAGGAGUGUUGAAUGUGUUCUCCACACACCCAGCUUUAUUCCACUCUAGGAGUUUAACUUCUUCAGCAUUGUUAUGAGGUCCCCGGUGACCUCAGUUUCUCCUCUCCGCGUCAUCCAGGACUUCACCUGAAGCUUGAGCUACACGUAAGACUUCAUCUACCUUGCACAGGGCAAUGGAGAGAGAUGGCAUACCA
RNAcentral lists this long non-coding RNA (1489 nucleotides) under Homo sapiens (human). RNAcentral's name for it is "long non-coding RNA NONHSAT211826.1". The record is from RNAcentral. Lineage: Eukaryota; Metazoa; Chordata; Mammalia; Primates; Hominidae.